Molecule: ribosomal RNA, 446 nt
Filed under: uncultured bacterium
Lineage: Bacteria
Description: bacterial SSU rRNA
Rfam family: Bacterial small subunit ribosomal RNA
Source: RNAcentral
GUACGGGAGGCAGCAGUGGGGAAUAUUGCACAAUGGGCGAAAGCCUGAUGCAGCGACGCCGCGUGAGGGAUGACGGCCUUCGGGUUGUAAACCUCUUUUGACAGGGACGAAGCGCAAGUGACGGUACCUGUAGAAGAAGCACCGGCCAACUACGUGCCAGCAGCCGCGGUAAUACGUAGGGUGCGAGCGUUGUCCGGAAUUACUGGGCGUAAAGAGCUUGUAGGCGGUCUGUCACGUCGAUUGUGAAAACUUGCAGCUCAACUGCAAGCUUGCAGUCGAUACGGGCAGACUAGAGUACUUCAGGGGAGACUGGAAUUCCUGGUGUAGCGGUGAAAUGCGCAGAUAUCAGGAGGAACACCGGUGGCGAAGGCGGGUCUCUGGGAAGUAACUGACGCUGAGAAGCGAAAGCGUGGGUAGCGAACAGGAUUAGAUACCCCUGUAGUCCU